UAUGUUGUGUUUACUUCAAAAAAGGAACUUUUUUAUGUUACGCUAUUAUAUCUCUUUGAUACGCGGAUCAUUUGAUCAAUUUCUGUGUACUUCAUCUGUAAAUACUCUGAUCAGUUUCUAUCCUCAUUUUGUAAAUAGAAUCAUGAAACUCUCUGACUUGUGUUGUACAAAAAUAAACUAAUUUCAAAACGAAAGCAGAGAUCCGAAUCAAAACGCCCAAUUAUAAUGCAAACUGAAUUGACAGACAUUGUCAACAAUACUUGCUAUUAAAAUAAAGGUUUUAUGAAAAAUUUACAAAUGUCGUUAGAAAAUAGAAAAUUUGUUACUCACUCAUACAUUAUUGAAAAGAUAGCACUUAAAAGUUUUAUGUGAAAGAAGCAACUACCUUAUCAUUUGUUGAGUUCCAAGAUUGUGUUACCACGAACCUGAUGAAAUGCUAAUGAGAAAAGUCGAUAAAUCAUCACAUCUUUCGGAAUAAAAGUGGCAAGAACAAGAAAAGCUUGAAUUUUGAAAGACUCACAAUCCAAACUUCAACAUGCAACAUAUCUGGAUUGAAUCGAGAAUAAUGAAAUAAUAAUUUCCUCAAUACAUCUGCUUAGAAAUUUUUAUCCGUGCUAUAAUUUUGAUCAUUUAUUAGCGUAUAUGUGUGAAAAUUGUUCUCACAUACAAAAAAGAGUAAUUUAUGAUCCAUGUUAUAAAAUUGUCUUCCUAAAAUUACAUUCAAAGUUUUCCCUUUUGAUUCACCUAAUGAAAAAAAAACGCAUAAUUUUUGUCAUAUGUGGUCAAAGGCAUUUAAAUUAUAUUCGUCCCGAAAAUUUUACUAUCAAACUGGAAUUAAAGAUAUGCCUCAUGCUCCUGAUAUGCAGAAAGAAGUGUUUUAAAAACGGCAUUUUCUCAUUUAACAGUUACAGUGGAGAAACGAUAUGCUUGCAAAUUUUGUGAUAUUUUCUCAGCUUCCGAAUUUAAAGAAACGAUUACUGGUGCAUACUAAACAGAAAGCACAUACGUGUGACAUUUGUAAUAAAGCAUUUUUUAUUUUCAACAGUCACAUUUAAAAGUUCAUUUAAUAUCGACUACGAAUGGGGAAUCCAAAGCUUGGAACUUUUGCAAUAAAGUCUUUUGUAUGAUUUCCAAUUUCGAAAGACAUUUACGGACGCAUAUAUAAGAGGAAAUGUUUAAAUGCGAGUUUUGCACGAAAGCCUUUUUACAUAACUGUAAUUUAAAAGUACAUUUACGUACUCAUACUGGGGAGAAACCGUAUACAUGUGAUAUUUGUAACAAAGCCUUUUCGGAAGCUUGGAAUUUAAAAAAACAUAUACAUAUGCAUACUGGAGAGAAAUCGUAUGCAUGUGAAUUUUGCAACAAACUCCUUUCAAAUAAUGGGAGUUUAAAAAAACAUUUACUUACGCAUACUGGAGAGAAACCGUAUGCAUGUGAAUUUUGUAACAAACUUUUUUCAGUUAAGGA
Long non-coding RNA from Argiope bruennichi, 1467 nucleotides. RefSeq lists it as uncharacterized. NCBI's taxonomy places the organism in Eukaryota, Metazoa, Arthropoda, Arachnida, Araneae, Araneidae. The transcript is spliced from 3 exons. The record is from RefSeq and is a predicted model, not a curated record.